AGAGUUUGAUCCUGGCUCAGAUUGAACGCUGGCGGCAUGCCUUACACAUGCAAGUCGAACGGUAACAGGUCUUUCGGGAUGCUGACGAGUGGCGAACGGGUGAGUAAUACAUCGGAACGUGCCUAGUAGUGGGGGAUAACUACUCGAAAGAGUGGCUAAUACCGCAUGAGAUCUAUGGAUGAAAGCAGGGGACCUUCGUGGCCUCUGUGGCUACUAGACGCGGCGCGAUCGUGCAUGCAUUCACGUGCUACGAUGUAGCGCUGGGUAUCAGAGAAUGCGUUCAGCCAWGGCUGACGCACUCUG
This 303-nucleotide ribosomal RNA is filed under the name uncultured beta proteobacterium. Its description in RNAcentral is "bacterial SSU rRNA". It matches the Rfam family "Bacterial small subunit ribosomal RNA", at positions 8 to 276 of the family's 1533-position model. Lineage: Bacteria; Pseudomonadati; Pseudomonadota; Betaproteobacteria. The record is from RNAcentral.